CCUACGGGAGACAGCAGUGGGGAAUAUUGGGCAAUGGGCGCAAGCCUGACCCAGCAACGCCGCGUGAAGGAAGAAGGCUUUCGGGUUGUAAACUUCUUUUGUCAGGGAAGAGUAGAAGACGGUACCUGACGAAUAAGCCACGGCUAACGACGUGCCAGCAGCCGCGGUAAUACGUAGGUGGCAAGCGUUGUCCGGAUUUACUGGGUGUAAAGGGCGUGUAGCCGGGUUGACAAGUCAGAUGUGAAAUCCUGCGGCUUAACCGCAGAACUGCAUGUGAAACUGUUGAGCUUGAGUACUGGAGAGGCAGACGGAAGUCCUAGUGUAGCGGUGAAAUGCGUAGAUAUUAGGAGGAACACCAGUGGCGAAGGCGGUCUGCUGGACAGCAACUGACGGUGAGGCGCGAAAGCGUGGGGAGCAAACAGGAUUAGAUACCCCGGUAGUC
Molecule: ribosomal RNA, 442 nt
Filed under: uncultured bacterium
Lineage: Bacteria
Description: partial 16S ribosomal RNA
Rfam family: Bacterial small subunit ribosomal RNA
Source: RNAcentral